GCAGCCAUCAUUUAAAGAAAGCGUAAUAGCUCACUGGUCGAGUCGGCCUGCGCGGAAGAUGUAACGGGGCUAAACCAUGCACCGAAGCUGCGGCAGCGACGCUGAUGCGUUGUUGGGUAGGGGAGCGUUCUGUAAGCCUGCGAAGGUGACCUGUGAGGGUUGCUGGAGGUAUCAGAAGUGCGAAUGCUGACAUAAGUAACGAUAAAGCGGGUGAAAAGCCCGCUCGCCGGAAGACCAAGGGUUCCUGUCCAACGUUAAUCGGGGCAGGGUGAGUCGACCCCUAAGGCGAGGCCGAAAGGCGUAGUCGAUGGGAAACGGGUUAAUAUUCCCGUACUUGGUGUUACUGCGAAGGGGGGACGGAGAAGGCUAUGUUGGCCGGGCGACGGUUGUCCCGGUUUAAGCGUGUAGGUGUGUGUUCCAGGUAAAUCCGGUUCACUUUAACACUGAGGCGUGACGACGAGGCACUACGGUGCUGAAGCAACAAAUGCCCUGCUUCCAGGAAAAGCCUCUAAGCAUCAGGUAACACGAAAUCGUACCCCAAACCGACACAGGUGGUCAGGUAGAGAAUACCAAGGCGCUUGAGAGAACUCGGGUGAAGGAACUAGGCAAAAUGGUGCCGUAACUUC
Molecule: ribosomal RNA, 626 nt
Filed under: Salmonella enterica subsp. enterica serovar Typhimurium
Lineage: Bacteria; Pseudomonadati; Pseudomonadota; Gammaproteobacteria; Enterobacterales; Enterobacteriaceae
Description: partial 23S ribosomal RNA
Rfam family: Bacterial large subunit ribosomal RNA
Source: RNAcentral